RNAcentral lists this ribosomal RNA (558 nucleotides) under Triticum aestivum (bread wheat). RNAcentral's name for it is "partial small subunit ribosomal RNA". The record is from RNAcentral. Lineage: Eukaryota; Viridiplantae; Streptophyta; Magnoliopsida; Poales; Poaceae.
AUGGAGUCUCCGCAGAAGAAGGCUGCAUCCAUGGACGGCAGCAAGAGCAAGACGACGGCUCAUCUGCUGCCGGUGACCGUGGCCAAGAAGACGCCACGUCCGGAUCAUGUCCGAUGGGUCAGCGCGUGGGCGCUCUUCACCGCCAGCGUCUUCGCCUUCUCCUUCGCCGUGGGCUCUGCAAUCGCCUACGCACUCGACCAUUUCCACGUCGCCUGCAGCCAGUCCUCCUUCUUCCUCCGGUGCGACCAGCUGACGGACGCGGCGGAAGCCGUGGUGAAUGCCCUAGGGACCGGGAUGCUGUGCUGCGCCGCGCUCCAGGCGGCCGCGGCGGUGCUGGCGCUGCGGCUCCGUUGCCGCCGUCGCUCCCUCGCCUACCUCGCGCUCGCGCUCACCAUCGGCGGCCACUGCAUCUACGCCGCCAUAGCCCACCUCUUACUCGUCGCCGACCCAGGAGACCUCUUCUUCGGGAUCAGCUUCGCGGUGAGCAUCGUCUUCUUCGCGGCGGGAGACAUCAUCAGCUUCGUGUCCCUCCUCCGCGGCGGCGAGGACGAGGAGUAG